This is a long non-coding RNA of Helianthus annuus (common sunflower), 930 nucleotides long. RefSeq lists it as uncharacterized. The record is from RefSeq and is a predicted model, not a curated record. The transcript has 4 exons. Lineage: Eukaryota; Viridiplantae; Streptophyta; Magnoliopsida; Asterales; Asteraceae.
GGUUGGCUAAUGAUUAGAAGAUUACUUUAUAGAAUGAAUUAAAUUUGGAACUCAAUUGCUUGGUUAAGUUUGAUUGAAACUGCUACAGUUUUUUAAAAUAUGUAUACAUUUACUCAUAUUAUGUAUACAUUUUUCUCUGUAUAUACUUUUAAGCUAACGAUAAAGUGUCAGUUGGUGAACAAAAUAUCUCUUGGAAUGAAUUGAAUUUGGUACUGAAUUGCUAGCUUUGAAUUUGUCCGAAACUUCUGCUGGUUUAUAAAUAUAUGUAUACAUUUACUCAUAUUAUGUAUACAUUUCUAUCUGUGUAUACUUUUAACUUUUAAGCUAACGAUUAAGUCUUGGUUGGUGAACAAAAUCUCUCUAGGAAUGAAUCGAAUUUGGUACUGAAUUGCUCUGUUUUGAAUCCUUACUGAUGUUGCCUGAUAGUUUUUUUUCAAAAAGGAGCUUAUCCACUCAAAGCAACUUCAAAGGCCGAAUAGUUGGGAUCUUAACUUUGGAAAACUCUCGAAAUUGGAAUCAGAUUAGGUCGAUGGAAGUCCCAUUUUCUUUAUAUGGAGGAUAUAUUUUUUCUUGAGGGGAUCCUACUUUUCAUGCUUUCAUCUCACGGGUUGAAGGUUUAUGGUUGUUAGUUACCAUAUCAGCUGCAUAGUAGAAAUUAUCGCGGAAGGGAAGAGUGCGAUCGGUAAGGAUGUUACGGAGAUAAAGAAGGCAUAUGAAAGUAAGCAAAAAGAAAAAAUCCAGAUUCAUUCAUACUGGCAUCUUUUGAUUAUAUUGGGAAAGUUGCAAAUGAAAAAUAUAUGAGGUUUAUUUUUAUGUGUUAUACAUGUGUCAGUGUGUUCGUAUAGAUUACUUGAGAAAUGCUAUGGCCUUCUCGGAUCUCGGAUUAUACUGGGAAAAUUGCAAAUGAAAUAUACAUUAAUUUUCUUUUUA